CCUACGGGAGGCAGCAGUGAGGAAUAUUGGUCAAUGGACGCAAGUCUGAACCAGCCAUGCCGCGUGCAGGAUGACUGCUCUAUGAGUUGUAAACUGCUUUUGUACGAGGGUAAACCCCCAUACGUGUAGCGGGUGGAAAGUAUCUUACGAAUAAGGAUCGGCUAACUCCGUGCCAGCAGCCGCGGUAAUACGGAGGAUGCGAGCGUUAUCCGGAUUUAUUGGGUUUAAAGGGUGCGUAGGCGGUUUUAUAAGUUAGAGGUGAAAUGUCGGGGCUCAACCCCGAUACUGCCUCUAAUACUGUUGAACUAGAGUAUAGGUGAGGUAGGCGGAAUGUAUGGUGUAGCGGUGAAAUGCAUAGAGAUCAUACAGAACACCGAUUGCGAAGGCAGCUUACCAACCUAUAUCUGACGUUGAGGCACGAAAGCGUGGGUAGCAAACAGGAUUAGAUACCCGGGUAGUC
Molecule: ribosomal RNA, 460 nt
Filed under: uncultured bacterium
Lineage: Bacteria
Description: partial 16S ribosomal RNA
Rfam family: Bacterial small subunit ribosomal RNA
Source: RNAcentral